Molecule: long non-coding RNA, 1304 nt
Filed under: Salmo salar (Atlantic salmon)
Lineage: Eukaryota; Metazoa; Chordata; Actinopteri; Salmoniformes; Salmonidae
Description: lncRNA (ENSSSAG00000097139.1)
Source: RNAcentral
GUGCUCAGUUUUACUGUUUAGAUUAAAUCGAGCGCUUGCAAACUUCCCAUCAUUCUGAUUACGGUAGUCAUUUUGUCAUACUGAUUCCUGGGGGUACAACAAAGUAUUUGCAGCCACUCGACAUCAGUGUAAAUCGUGCAUUUAAGGUGGCGCUCCGUGUUCAGCGGGAGGCUUGGAUGACAAGUGGGGAGAAAUCCUUCACUAAAACGGCCCGCAUGCGAAGAGGAACUUAUGGUCAAUUCUGCCAGUGGGUCCUGACAGUGUGGAGCAUUGUCAAAAAAUCCACUAUCAUCAACGGGUUUCGAAAGGCUGGACUGCUGCGUGUUGAAGAGGGCUUAGCGGGGGAUUUGCCUCCGGAUGAAAGUGACGAGAGCGACAAUGAAAACGAUCCAAUAUCGGAUGAAGCAAUUCUGAGGGGGUGGGUAUAAUUUGUGGAACGUUCCAACAGGAAUCCGUUCCAAAAACUUCGUAAAUAACAAGGUUGCCAAAAGACAACGUAUACAAAGUUGUAUACCGGCAGAAUAAGAUACCGGGUAGUGAGUGGUCUAUUUCAUUGCGUUUUUCACUCAUCACGUUUAUUCCGAAAAAUGUCUGUCCUCACUCUGGUUGCCUAUGGACAAACAUUAAGAAUAAGCUACGUGGUGAGUUGAUGCCUAUUUGGCAGCUAGUUAGCUAGGUUUGUAUGCGUUGCUACUUUGUAUGCGUUGUUGGUUGGCAACCUUUUACUUUACGUUUUUUGGAACAGAUUCCUGUUGGAACGUUCCACAAAUUAUACCCCCCCAUUCUGAGGCUAUUCAACUCCGACACCGAAGGAGAUGGUUUCUGUGCACAGGAUGAGGAAGAUAGUGACCAAUGACAUUCUUGGUUUUGACCAUUCCUGCCUGCUCUGACCCUGAGCCUGCCUGCUCCUUUGCCUCCACUCUGGAUUACCGACCUCUGCCUGACCUGACCCCUCCUGGUUUUCCGGUGCCAUACACCCUGUCUGGAUUAUUGACCCAUGCCUCCCUUGACCUGUUCUUUUCCUGCCCCUGUUUAAAGAAUAAACUUCUGUUUCUUCAACACUGUCUGCACCUUGGUCAUACCUUAAAAUGUGAUACAUAAUUUAAUCACCCCACGACUUCAUAGAAAUGAAGGACUCUUUACAUUUACGUAUCCUAGAGAUGACAUUUUUAAGCUUCCUUUUUGACCCAUUAGCCUAUUCAUUCAACCGUGUGCAGGUUUUCUGUAAUUUACCUUUUAGUGCCCCACACAGGUGCAACAAUUCCUGUGUCAGUUAAAAAAAUUAUGUAACCAGGCAAGGUCAG